GACGAACGCUGGCGGCGCGCUUAACACAUGCAAGUCGAACGAGAAGCUCGGUGCUUGCACCGGGUGGACAGUGGCGAACGGGUGCGUAACACGUGAGCAACCUGCCCCGGAGACCGGAAUAACCCGAGGAAACUCGGACUAAUACCGGAUGCCCUCCUCGGAUCGCAUGGUCCGGUGAGGAAAUGGUCUGCCGCUCCGGGAUGGGCUCGCGGCCUAUCAGCUUGUUGGUGAGGUAACGGCUCACCAAGGCAACGACGGGUAGCUGGUCUGAGAGGACGAUCAGCCACACUGGGACUGAGACACGGCCCAGACUCCUACGGGAGGCAGCAGUGGGGAAUCUUGCGCAAUGGGGAAACCCUGACGCAGCGACGCCGCGUGCGGGAUGAAGGCCCUAGGGUUGUAAACCGCUUUCAGCAGGGACGAAGCGAAAGUGACGGUACCUGCAGAAGAAGGACCGGCUAACUACGUG
RNAcentral lists this ribosomal RNA (469 nucleotides) under uncultured bacterium. RNAcentral describes it as "bacterial SSU rRNA". It matches the Rfam family "Bacterial small subunit ribosomal RNA", at positions 28 to 507 of the family's 1533-position model. The record is from RNAcentral.